Molecule: ribosomal RNA, 460 nt
Filed under: uncultured bacterium
Lineage: Bacteria
Description: partial 16S ribosomal RNA
Rfam family: Bacterial small subunit ribosomal RNA
Source: RNAcentral
CCUACGGGUGGCAGCAGUGAGGAAUAUUGGGCAAUGGACGCAAGUCUGAACCAGCCAUGCCGCGUGCAGGAAGACGGCUCUAUGAGUUGUAAACUGCUUUUUUACGAGGGUAAACCCUGAUACGCGUAUCUGACUGAAAGUAUCGUACGAAUAAGGAUCGGCUAACUCCGUGCCAGCAGCCGCGGUAAUAAGGAGGAGUCAAGCGUUAUCCGGAUUUAGUGGGUGUAAUGGGUGCGUAGGCGGUCGGGUAAGUUAGAGGUGAAAGCACGAGGCUCAACAUCGGAACUGCCUCGGAUACUGUGUGACUAGAGUGUAGUUGCGGAAGGCGGAAUGUCUGGUGUAGCGGUGAAAUGCUUAGAUAUCAGACAGAACACCGAUGGCGAAGGCAGCUUACCAGGCUAUUACUGACGCUGAGGCACGAAAGCGUGGGGAGCAAACAGGAUUAGAUACCCGAGUAGUC